GGACCCGCACAAGCGGUGGAGCAUGUGGUUUAAUUCGAUGCAACGCGAAAAACCUUACCUACUCUUGACAUACUUGGGAGCUCUUGUAAUGAGAGUGUGCCUUUUGGAACCAAGAUACAGGUGCUGCAUGGCUGUCGUCAGCUCGUGUCGUGAGAUGUUCCGUUAAGUCGGAUAACGAGCGCAACCCUUACCCUUAUUUGCCAGCGAUUCGGUCGGGAACUAUAAGGGGACUGCCGGUGAUAAACCGGAGGAAGGUGAGGACGACGUCAAGUCAUCAUGGCCCUUACGAGUAGGGCUACACACGUGCUACAAUGGGGAAUACAGACGGACGCUAAGCCGCGAGGUGGAGCA
Molecule: ribosomal RNA, 351 nt
Filed under: uncultured bacterium
Lineage: Bacteria
Description: bacterial SSU rRNA
Rfam family: Bacterial small subunit ribosomal RNA
Source: RNAcentral